GUCAUUCCAAUAAAACCCAUCAAAAUCAUAAGUUCUUGCUUUGCUAUAUAUAAUCUGAAGUCAAUUGAAGAUUCAAGAAAGAUGAGAAUUAGUAUAAAGAACCUUAAACCAGACAGCUUCAGGGCCACAGUUAGCACCGUAUUUGUUUAAGGCUUCAGGGAUGAUGAAACCAGCUGCUCCCAACAUAGCCCAUCUCGCGUGGAUCAAUUCAAAGGCUUGGUAUCUAGCAACCACAUUCAUUACACAACCAGUCUUAAUGACAUUGACAAAUUUGAGAGAUAAGAGAUGGAACUAACGAAACAGGUAUUAGAGCAGAGAAUCUGCUUACUUAGCAAAGUUCUCAGGCUUCUUUCCAAGUCCAAAUGGGUCAUAGCCA
This 376-nucleotide long non-coding RNA is filed under the name Eutrema salsugineum. Its description in RNAcentral is "long non-coding RNA (ESAL_LNC000864)". The record is from RNAcentral. Lineage: Eukaryota; Viridiplantae; Streptophyta; Magnoliopsida; Brassicales; Brassicaceae.